GACGAACGCUGGCGGCGUGCCUAAUACAUGCAAGUUGAGCGCUGAAGGUUGGUACUUGUACCAACUGGAUGAGCAGCGAACGGGUGAGUAACGCGUGGGGAAUCUGCCUUUGAGCGGGGGACAACAUUUGGAAACGAAUGCUAAUACCGCAUAAAAACUUUAAACACAAGUUUUAAGUUUGAAAGAUGCAAUUGCAUCACUCAAAGAUGAUCCCGCGUUGUAUUAGCUAGUUGGUGAGGUAAAGGCUCACCAAGGCGAGGAUACAUAGCCGACCGGAGAGGGGGAUAGGCCACAUGGGGACGGGGACACGGCCCAAACGCCUGCGAGAGGCAGCAGUAGGGAAUCGUCGGCAAUGGACGAAAGUCUGACCGAGCAACGCCGCGUGAGUGAAGAAGGUUUUCGGAGCGGAAAACUCGGUUGGUAGAGAAGAACGGUGGUGGGAGUGGAAAGCGCAUCAAGUGACGGUAACUACCCAGAAAGGGACGGCUAACUACGUG
This 497-nucleotide ribosomal RNA is filed under the name uncultured bacterium. Its description in RNAcentral is "partial 16S ribosomal RNA". It matches the Rfam family "Bacterial small subunit ribosomal RNA", at positions 28 to 507 of the family's 1533-position model. The record is from RNAcentral.